RNAcentral lists this ribosomal RNA (395 nucleotides) under uncultured bacterium. RNAcentral describes it as "partial 16S ribosomal RNA". It matches the Rfam family "Bacterial small subunit ribosomal RNA", at positions 523 to 918 of the family's 1533-position model. The record is from RNAcentral.
AUACGUAGGGUGCAAGCGUUAAUCGGAAUUACUGGGCGUAAAGCGUGCGCAGGCGGUUUUGUAAGACAGAGGUGAAAUCCCCGGGCUCAACCUGGGAACUGCCAUUGUGACUGCAAGGCUGGGGCGCGGCAGAGGGGGGUGGAAUUCUGCGCGUAGCAGUGAAAUGCGUAGAUAUGCGGAGGAACACCGAUGGCGAAGGCAAUCCCCUGGGCCUGCACUGACGCUCAUGCACGAAAGCGUGGGGAGCAAACAGGAUUAGAUACCCUGGUAGUCCACGCCCUAAACGAUGUCAACUGGUUGUUGGGGAUUUAUUUUCUCAGUAACGAAGCUAACGCGUGAAGUUGACCGCCUGGGGAGUACGGCCGCAAGGUUAAAACUCAAAUGAAUUGGCGGGG